Molecule: unclassified non-coding RNA, 263 nt
Filed under: uncultured Ascomycota
Lineage: Eukaryota; Fungi; Ascomycota
Description: sequence contains ITS2
Source: RNAcentral
CAACCCUCGAGCCCCCAGGCUCGGCGUUGGGGCGUGCGAGAGGGGGGAAAGGGGUCUCCCCGUCAUCCCCACUCGCGGCCCCUAAAUACAGUGGCCCACCCGCCCGGAGGGACUCCCCUGCGUAGUAGCAAGCCUCUCUCGCAUCGGGGACCCGCCGGCGAGCCGCCCGUCGCGGCGGAGCCAGAGCAAAAGUCCUGAGCCGGUCUCGCCUCCCAACCCUAUGGGCGGGGAGAAGGGGCUGGUUGCCUGGGCAGAACAAAAGA